AGUGUUUUCUCGAAUGUGAGUAAAGGUUGGGCAUGUUUGCUAGUCUACCUUGCCACGAAGCACAGAGGUUGACACACAGGGACUUUCCAAUUAUCCAGCAAUGGUACUGUUCCUUUACCCUCUCUUCGAUUUUUAAGAAAGUAGUCAUGUUGGGAGUCUGGCUCUUUAGAUUCGGAGGACGGUACCUCUUCGAUUUUGGAGCAAGCAAUCUUAUUGGGAGUGUUUUCUCGAAUGUGAGUAAAGGUUGGGCAUGUUUGCUAGUCUACCUUGCCACGAAGCACAGAGGUUGACAUACAUGGACUUUCCAAUUAUCCAACAGUGGUACUGUUCCUUUACCCUUGUGGGUAAUAAUAUGGUAGCUAGACCUUCAAAAUUUAUGGGUCUAAACUUUGUUAGUGCUGUUUCUUUGCUAUUCUUUUACCCUUCUUGGUCAGAGCGAUGUAGU
RNAcentral lists this long non-coding RNA (445 nucleotides) under Malus domestica (apple). RNAcentral describes it as "long non-coding RNA (MDOM_LNC013889)". Lineage: Eukaryota; Viridiplantae; Streptophyta; Magnoliopsida; Rosales; Rosaceae. The record is from RNAcentral.